This 252-nucleotide ribosomal RNA is filed under the name uncultured bacterium. Its description in RNAcentral is "partial 16S ribosomal RNA". It matches the Rfam family "Bacterial small subunit ribosomal RNA", at positions 524 to 776 of the family's 1533-position model. The record is from RNAcentral.
UACGUAGGGGGCAAGCGUUGUCCGGAUUUACUGGGCGUAAAGCGCGCGUAGGCGGCUUUGCAAGUCGGGUGUGAAAUCCCCAGGCUUAACCUGGGAACUGCAUUCGAGACUGCAUUGCUAGAGUAUGGGAGAGGGAAGUGGAAUUUCCGGUGUAGCGGUGAAAUGCGUAGAUAUCGUAAGGAAGACCAGUGGCGAAGGCGAGUCUCUGGACAGCAACUGACGCUGAGCACGAAGGCCAGGGGAGCAAACGGG